GAGUUUGAUCAUGGCUCAGAUUGAACGCUGGCGGCAUGCCUUACACAUGCAAGUCGAACGGCAGCACGGGAGCUUGCUCCUGGUGGCGAGUGGCGAACGGGUGAGUAAUGCAUCGGAACGUAUCCUGGAGUGGGGGAUAACGUAGCGAAAGUUACGCUAAUACCGCAUAUUCUGUGAGCAGGAAAGCGGGGGACCUUCGGGCCUCGCGCUCUUGGAGCGGCCGAUGUCGGAUUAGCUAGUUGGUGAGGUAAAGGCUCACCAAGGCGACGAUCCGUAGCAGGUCUGAGAGGAUGAUCUGCCACACUGGAACUGAGACACGGUCCAGACUCCUACGGGAGGCAGCAGUGGGAAUUUGGACAAUGGGGCAACCUGAUCCAGCCAUGCGACGUGAGUGAAGAAGGCCUC
RNAcentral lists this ribosomal RNA (405 nucleotides) under bacterium enrichment culture clone ALO1_GLFRUDD03G8BV8. RNAcentral's name for it is "bacterial SSU rRNA". It matches the Rfam family "Bacterial small subunit ribosomal RNA", at positions 9 to 418 of the family's 1533-position model. The record is from RNAcentral.